RNAcentral lists this long non-coding RNA (204 nucleotides) under Mytilus galloprovincialis (Mediterranean mussel). Lineage: Eukaryota; Metazoa; Mollusca; Bivalvia; Mytilida; Mytilidae. The record is from RNAcentral.
GGGCUUUGUAAUUAAAGUUCUACCUUGUCUCUGAUUGUUUGUUGAUAAUCACAGUUGUCAAUCAUACUAGUAUUGUAUCAAUACCCAAUUACCUAAUCAAAAUGUUUUAAAAAAAGCCUGCACAUCAACACACCUUAAUGACAUACAUUUUUGAAUGAACUGCUCUGAAAAUAUACCCAUUUUGUCAGUUUAUAUGUGUAUUAU